This 439-nucleotide ribosomal RNA is filed under the name uncultured bacterium. RNAcentral describes it as "partial 16S ribosomal RNA". It matches the Rfam family "Bacterial small subunit ribosomal RNA", at positions 339 to 795 of the family's 1533-position model. The record is from RNAcentral.
CUACGGGUCGCUGCAGUGAGGAAUAUUGCACAAUGGGGGGAACCCUGAUGCAGCAACGCCGCGUGGAGGAUGACGCAUUUCGGUGUGUAAACUCCUUUUAUAUGUCAAGAAAAUGACGGUAGCAUAUGAAUAAGCACCGGCUAACUCAGUGCCAGCAGCCGCGGUAAUACGGAGGGUGCAAGCGUUACUCGGAAUCACUGGGCGUAAAGGACGCGUAGGCGGGCUUGUAAGUCAGGUGUGAAAUCCUACAGCUUAACUGUAGAACUGCACUUGAAACUACGAGUCUAGAGUAUGGGAGGGGAAGAUGGAAUUAGUGGUGUAGGGGUAAAAUCCGUAGAUAUCACUAGGAAUACCUAAAGCGAAGGCGAUCUUCUGGAACAUAACUGACGCUAAGGCGUGAAAGCGUGGGGAGCAAACAGGAUUAGAUACCCCGGUAGUC